UUUAGUGCUAAGCCAAGGUUGCCUCACUCCACGCGCUUUUCCUAAUAGAUACAACUCUUCAAGAUGUCCCUAACUAGCCAUUCUUUUUAAGUCAUCUCUUUAGAGUGCCACUGCUGAUGAGUACCUAACACGUGCUUUUCCUAAUAGAUACAACUCUUCAAGAUGUCCCUAACCAACCAUUCUUUUUAAGUCAUCUCUUUAGAGUGCCACUACUGAUGAGUACCCAACAAGGUGCCUCUUGCCAAUGGGUGCCCACCAAGGUGUUUCUGAGUUAAGGGCUUUCUAAAUCGACAUCUUACAUUAGCCAUCUGGUUGUGUCUCUUUGAUGCAUCAAUGCACACCAAUG
Molecule: long non-coding RNA, 346 nt
Filed under: Vitis vinifera (wine grape)
Lineage: Eukaryota; Viridiplantae; Streptophyta; Magnoliopsida; Vitales; Vitaceae
Description: long non-coding RNA (VVIN_LNC004228)
Source: RNAcentral